RNAcentral lists this long non-coding RNA (1113 nucleotides) under Marmota monax (woodchuck). The record is from RNAcentral. Lineage: Eukaryota; Metazoa; Chordata; Mammalia; Rodentia; Sciuridae.
UCCACUAAUGAUAUUCUUAAAGUAAUGUUAAACACAUGAUCUUGGUACUAACAUACUCAUUGUGAACCCAGCCUAUUGCAAAAAUGGAAUCCUUUUGUAAUACUAUCUGUGGAAUAUCAGCACAAUAUAACUCUCUGGGAGUAAGUGGGAUUUUUUUUUUUUUUUUUGGUUAAUAGGUUAAAUUUUUAGUAAACCACAUGCCUAUUUUCAGUUAACACUGGUAAUACAGUUGCAAUAUGUGGUACAGUUUAUCAGUUCAUAACUACUAUGACACAUGAGAAUUGCAUGUGGAAUAUUUAAUAGACUUUUUCAUGUUAAGUUUUCUUAUUUUGAGUUUUUACUUUAUACGUGUAUUAAUAACUAGAUAAGUAAAAAAUGUUUUAAAUUGACACCUGAUUAUUGAGUGCAUUUGGUGGAUUAAAACUUCUUAAAAACAUAUAUCUUGGCAGCUCCAUGUCUAGAAAUUUUGGUAAUGAGUGCUAGAAAAACUAAUAGCUUUAAUGGGAGAAUGGGGAAUGAGAAAUGUAGAAAUAUCCAAGGUUGAAGCCAAAAGUGAGGGGAGUGACCAAAUGGUAAAAUUUUUGUACUCAUUUACUACCUCCUAAAAAUGUAACCUGUUUUUAGGAUUUAAAUCACUAAAUUAAUAUGUAUCCUUGCCAAAUGUCAUGAGGGUCACAUUUGUUCUAAGAGUGAUUUUUUAAGGUCUUUAUACUUCACCUUAUAUUUGUCAGCAUCAUUUCUCUGUUUAUUCAAGAACUUAUGGGGGCAGAAUGUCAGCAAUAAAUCAGCAAUAAGACCCUUGUAACAGGGUCUAAAAGGAAAGUUGGAAACAAAGCCAUUGCUAUAUUUUUGUAACACCCUUAACUUCUAAGUCUUCCAGUGAAUUUUAGGCCCAAAGAUUCCUAUGUAUUACCCACCCCAUGUUUUGUGCUGUCAACUAUAUUAACUAUUAUUUAAAAGUUAAAAUUAUUUGGUUUGUGAUUCAUUCUUCCAUAUGACAUUGGGCACAUUUAUUUUAAAACAUGUUCCUGUUAAUAUGACUAUCUCAUUGUCUUUUUUGAGAGAAAAAUAGAGAACAACAAAUCUUCAUGAUAAACUUAAAAGAAAAAAAAA